CUGAGUUAUCAUGACUCCAUCUUGGUUAUCUGAUGAGAACAGUAAUCCAAGUGUGAUGGACUUGCUCCUCUCCAGAGAGUGGCAGUGACUGAACUAAAAGAUGCAUGAGGACCACUGAGGGUAGGCAGUCACUGAAGCGUGAAGAUCUGUGGACAUGAAAGACUUAUACGUACAGAGAGGAGCCUCCAGAACAACAGGGGAAUUGCUAACCAUAUUUUGUGUGAGCACAUGUAAGUGAAGGCUGUAAACGAAGACUAAGCACAAUGCAAACUUGGAAAACACUUUGAAGAGGCACCUACAUACAAAAAUUGAGGAGGACUCAGCAUGGACAAAACCAGCAGAUAUGUUUGUAUCUACAGGUUAUCAGGUUUGGAUAUAUUAAUUAAAAUUGUGUUGACUUAUGCAGCAUAAGAUGCUUGUCAUUUUAACAUGAUACACAAUGAUAGAAGAUAAUGAAUUAAGUUGCCAGUGGACCUUUCCCCUAGGAUGAUGUUAUUGUGCUUGAUAAUUAGCUAUAAUAUGCGAAUAGUAACACUUCAAAG
Molecule: long non-coding RNA, 542 nt
Organism: Pseudopipra pipra
Lineage: Eukaryota; Metazoa; Chordata; Aves; Passeriformes; Pipridae
Exons: 3
Source: RefSeq, a predicted model, not a curated record